This 305-nucleotide ribosomal RNA is filed under the name uncultured bacterium. RNAcentral's name for it is "bacterial SSU rRNA". It matches the Rfam family "Bacterial small subunit ribosomal RNA", at positions 338 to 660 of the family's 1533-position model. The record is from RNAcentral.
CCUACGGGGGGCAGCAGUGGGGAAUUUUGCGCAAUGGGGGAAACCCUGACGCAGCAACGCCGCGUGCGGGACGAAGGCCUUCGGGUUGUAAACCGCUUUCAGCAGGGACGAAUUCCGACGGUACCUGCAGAAGAAGCCCCGGCUAACUACGUGCCAGCAGCCGCGGUAAUACGUAGGGGGCGAGCGUUAUCCGGAUUCAUUGGGCGUAAAGCGCGCGUAGGCGGCGCGUCAAGCGGGACCUCUAACCCCGGGGCUCAACCCCGGGCCGGGUCCCGGACUGGCGCGCUCGAGUGCGGUAGAGGCGG